Micropterus salmoides (largemouth bass) is the source of this 1007-nucleotide RNA transcript. It is a transcript of the gene named programmed cell death 1 ligand 1-like, with no coding region annotated. The record is from RefSeq and is a predicted model, not a curated record. The transcript is spliced from 4 exons. Lineage: Eukaryota; Metazoa; Chordata; Actinopteri; Centrarchiformes; Centrarchidae.
AACACUUCAUAAUCAGUUAAAAGCUGUGACUGUCUGCUUUGUGUUCUGGUAGUUAUAUUUGUUAUAGAUGAUUAUCUGUUAAAACUGAUCACUGUGACCUGAAUUUAACACAGAAAAAACACAUUUAUUAAAUAUUCAACAUGGCGUCUGUCUGUUGGAAACAUGUUGAUCACAGCUCAUCAUCUGAAUGUGACCAGUUUUAUCUGCUGUACUUUCAGUUUGAAAGCUAAACGCUGGUUUCUCUUCCUGCUGAUAAAAUAACUGCAACAAAGAACCAGCUCCGGGGGAAAAACAGAGCAAACUGAAGAGCAGCAGCUCUGAGUCACAGUGAAGAUCGAAGCUUAAAUUAAAAGCAGGAGGAGAAAAACAGAAACAUGAAGUUCCCGAAAAAUCAGCUGGACGACAGAAGAGCUGGAGCUUCACUGCUGAGAGUAAAAACAACAGGAAACACCCAGAACUGCACCAGCGACAUUUCGUUCAGUAGUUUUCUCCAGGAAACAACAGUUUCUACCUGAAGGGACGAUGUGUGGAUGUGGUACAAGUGAAACCUGGAGAUAAUGUCACUCUGCCAUGUCAGGCUGGAGAUGUCUUCAUCAGAGCUGUAGAGUGGACCAGACCAGACCUGGAGCCAGACUACGUCGUCUUUCACAGAGAUGGACUCUCAGAUCCAACCCACCAGCAUCCAUCCUUUAAGGACCGGGUGCAGCUGGUGGACAGAGAGCUGAAGGACGGAGACGUGUCUUUACUUCUGAAGAAUGUGAGCAGCAACGACGCUGGAACAUACGAGUGUCGAGUUGCACAGGAGGUUCAAGACGUAAGAGAGCCAUUAUUGAGACUGAGCCAAUCAGAAUCAUCCAGCUGGAGGUUCCAGGGUCCAACAGCGGAGACGUCGAGGAGGGAAACCAAAUCAACAGAAACCCCACAGAGAGAAACUACGCUCGUAAUUAUGUUGGACUGGGAGCAGCCUUAUUUCUGGUUUGCUUAGCUGCUGUUGGAUUGGUUGUUUU